CGUAAGUUCAAGUACCACGUUCCUAUCUAUGGCGGGGGUUAUUCUCAGUACCACAUUCCUAUCCAUCACGAGUCUAUUCUCAAUGAGGUGAGUUAUCCUCAGUAUCACACUCCUAUCCAUGAUGGGACUAUCCUUAGUACCACAUUCUUUCCUGUAGCAAGACUAUUCUCUGUGCCAUGUUCUUUCCCAUGGUAGUCUAUUUUUAAUUUAACUGUAGGCUUAGGUGUGGUGCUUCCAAGUCUUGGGAGGUCAAGUGAGGAGCCAUAGUGUUGGC
RNAcentral lists this long non-coding RNA (274 nucleotides) under Elaeis guineensis (African oil palm). RNAcentral describes it as "long non-coding RNA (EGUI_LNC028181)". The record is from RNAcentral. Lineage: Eukaryota; Viridiplantae; Streptophyta; Magnoliopsida; Arecales; Arecaceae.